RNAcentral lists this long non-coding RNA (1479 nucleotides) under Canis lupus familiaris (dog). RNAcentral's name for it is "lncRNA (ENSCAFG00040003266.1)". The record is from RNAcentral. Lineage: Eukaryota; Metazoa; Chordata; Mammalia; Carnivora; Canidae.
GGUCUGCAGGGCGGCUCCCGAGGACGUUCUGUCCCCCAGGGGACCCGCCCUGUCCAGGGGGCCGCCCAGGCCUUCGGCAGGGCCCACGCAGUGGGGGAGUCGGGGCCCCCACGCACCCCAGCUCCAGGGGAACCCUUCGUGCGGGAGCCCCCAGCUGUGCACGGAGCCCCAGGGCCUCGGGCAGGGAGCACAUCUGGCGGGGACGCGGGGCUGCGGCCUGCACAGGGUGGUCCAGCCCGACACCAAGGACCAGGGAGGGACCGGGCUACUCGGGCCGCUGAGCCUCCCCAUCUUCUGGCCCCUGCAUGCCUGGCGGGGGCUCCCGGAAGCCACGGGGGUGGGGGGCGGUGGUGGUCCCCGGCCAGGCCCAGCUGCAUCCCCCCGGGAGCCCACCCCCCGCCCCCUUGGCCGCAGCUGGAGCCCGGCCCCGCCCCCGCAGGCCUGCAGCUGGAGCCCGUGGGGAGCAGGGGCGGCGGCCAGAGGCGGCGGGCGCUGCCUGAUGGGGAGCAGCUGCGGCCCCGGUUCUCGCCCGGCCGAGCUGGCCGAUGCGGCCCCACCCAGGACCUGCGCCCCGGCCGCGCUCCCCUCACCCCCCACCCCCUGGGCGCCCCCCCGUGCCCAGCGGCUGCACCCUGCCCGACGGCGCCUUGGCACCCAGGGCCCCGCUUCCCCCGUGGGGCCACCGUCCUGCAUCUGCUGGGAUCCAGUCCGGGGCGCCCCUCGGGGCGCAGGUGGGGUCCGGUACCCGCACAGGCCGCGCCACAGCACAGCCGCCUCCCACGGCAGAGCCGGGGUCAGAACCCGCUCCCCGCGAGCCGACUGGUCCUCGCAGCCGGGCACGAACCCUUGGGGGGCCCUGGUAGGGCAGCUUCAUCCCAUCCGCAGAGCUGGGACCCCCUGGGCGCCCCGCCUGGGCUCGAGCCGCGUCUCGGGGGUCUUUGCCACGCCCGGCCAGGGGCCCGCGGCGACACACGUCCUUGCAGCCCUGCUGCUCACGGGCUCGUCCUCUGCCCCGUGGGGACCACGACAGUGCAAACGGGAAGGCGGCCGUGGAGAAGGUGGCCCAGGGCCGGCCGGCGCCUUCCCGCGGCCCCGAAGGCCCUCCGGGGACCCCACGGCCCUCGCAGGUGCUCGCUGCUGAGAAGUGACCGGCUGCCCACUUCCCUGCGCUUACUGGCAUCGGAGUUUCUUGCUGGGUUUCAGGGUCCGGCUGGGGCAGCCUCCGAGGUCCCACCUCCCACUCGUGCCAAUGAUCGUGUCCAUAUUUUAUUUUAUUUUAUUUUAUUUUUUAAUUUUUAUUUAUUUAUGAUAGUCACACAGAGAGAGAGAGAGGCAGAGACACAGGCAGCGGGAGAAGCAGGCUCCAUGCACCGGGAGCCCGACGUGGGACUCGAUCCCGGGUCUCCAGGAUCGCGCCCCAGGCCCAAGGCAGGCGCCAAACCGCUGUGCCACCCGGGGAUCCCCGUGUCCAUAUUUUAG